This 3621-nucleotide long non-coding RNA is filed under the name Amborella trichopoda. RNAcentral describes it as "long non-coding RNA (ATRI_LNC003142)". Lineage: Eukaryota; Viridiplantae; Streptophyta; Magnoliopsida; Amborellales; Amborellaceae. The record is from RNAcentral.
AUUUUCAUAAAUUUCCCCAAAACAUACAAAAGAAAAGACAUCAGCCAUCCAAAUGCCGUUCAAUUUAGCCAUCUUCCCUUGACUACUCCAUAGGUUAUCUUUUCCCUAGGGGUGGCAAUGGGUCGGAUGUGGCUGCACCUGGAAACGGAUCCGAAUAGUAUUCGUCUCCUAGUUUUGGACCUAAACCUGACUUUGUGAGUCCAAAAUUUGGACCAAUAAUGGGACCCGACGUUGGGUCUACCUGUCGAGUCCCGAGUCUGGUCAGGUCCAUUGCCACCCAGUGAGAUACGCGAGCUAUGAUUAUGAGUUUUUUUUUUUGGCCUUUUUCUUUACCAUCAUAUACUUAUAUUAUUACUAACAUUUACAAUAUUGAACAACAUUUAUUAAUACCCACAUACACCCAUACUAUUCGGGUCCUGCUAGACUCAGGCCAGGACCUAGACCCCGAAUAGUAUUUGGAUCCAAGGUUUGGACCAAAACUCGACUUUUUGGGUUCAAAAUUUGGACCCAUUCCCAAACCCAAGGUCGAGUCUACCUGUUGAGUCCACACGGUUUGAUCGGGUAUAGUUGAGUCCACACGGUUUCACCUGUCGAGUCUACCUGUUGAGUCCACACGGUUUGACCUGUCGAGUCUACCUGUUGAGUCCAUGAAAACGUUAGUUUUAUACGAGAGCAAUGCAUCAUACCUUUGGAUAGAAUACAAUCAAUAACACUUAGCUACAUGACAUAACGCAUCUAUGAUGACAACUUUUAAAUAAGUCACUUGUAUUAUUAACCAAAAUAAUAGAAGUGAAAAUGUUUACUGCUUCCGCACUAGAGACCUUCUAUUUUACUCCCUAUGAUAAAACCCAAAUUAGAAGUAAUUUUAUGAUCUCAGUUUUUGGGGAUGUAACAUGGUGAACUGGCCACCAACCUCAUAAAAAGUAAGAAAAAUAAGAUAAAAUUGAAGCACAUAUCCCAAGAUUGAACAAGGCCGACCAAUUUGAAGCACUCGAUUUUUUUUAUUUUUUAAAUAAUAAUAAGUGAGUUAUUUCUAAAUUUUAGAUAAAAAAAGCCCUCUCCAAUAGGCCCCAUACACGAAGGAGUUAAUAUACAAAUAAAAUUGUAUACCAUAAGACUAUUUAGUUUUGGUAUGAGGGGGUCACAAUCAUUUUUAGCCAUUGGAUAUGAAAUCCAAUAGAUAAAAUUGUGUCACAACAUUCGAAAAAUUUUAUUUUGGACUUUGUGACAAAAAAACGACACAUUUUCAACCACUUGAUUUCAAAUCCGACGGCCAAAUGAUGAUUAUGACUUUUCUAUAUCAAAAGUAAAUGGUCUCUUUGUAUACAUUUCCUAUACAAUAUACUCCCACAUGAGCAUUUGAUACAUCCUAACAAAAGAAAUUUAAUCUUGAGAAGUAGAUUUUCUUUUUCUUUUGAAAUAUUCAUCGACACUCCUUUUUGUGAAAUUAAAGGAAUCAAUGCUAGUUUCAAUUUAGGGGAAGGUUUCUAUACUUCCCCUACAAUAUAGAAGAUCUAUGCUUCUCCUACCAUCCAGCCGUCCAAUUUUGAUCAAGAGAGCCACUCACCGUUUGAUCUUAGAUCCGACGUCUCAAAAUAUUUUAUUUUUAAUUUUUUUAUACAAAUUGUAUGAAUAUGAAAUUUGGUAUGUGCCAUCUUCUCAUUGGGGCAACCUAUAAAAAAUAUUAAAAAUAAAUUUUCGAUAAAAUCAAAUGAUCAAAAUACCCUUUAAAAUUUUUAAGGCUAUUUUGGUCAUUUUAUUUUAUUAGAAAUAUUUGCUUUUAUAUUUUUCGCUGGUGCGAGUUAAUAGAGGAUUGGACGUACAAAACUUGGUGUCAAAAUAGUUUAUAAAAAAAUAAAUAAAAAUAAAAUAAUGUAGAGUCGUGACAUUGUGUUGAUACAAUCUUAACCCUCCAUUCAGAAUGGACGGCUGGAUUAGGGGAAACAUAUAAAUUUUAUGUACGGCUAGAUUAGGGGAAACGUAUAAAUUUUAUGCAGUAGGGGAAGCAUAGAAAGCUUGCCCUUCAAUCUAAAUAAAAAAAUGUCUCUAGAUGGGUUCCACUAAAACUGCCACAACUAGAUUGUAGAGAGGAAUGCUAAAGACAUGUUGUGGCAACACCUCAAAACAACAAAUGCUUCCUCAAAAGUUAUUACUUGUAGCCAAGAAAGUAGUGGGAGAGUUUUAUAAGCUCAAAAGUGUGACCUAAAUGUUUGUUUAAUUACUAAAAUUCUAAAAAACCCAACAGGUUGGAGUGUUACAACAUUACGUUAUGGCACAAGUGCUGUAAGGCUGGAAUGAAACUCCACAGGCAUUGUGGGUUUAUGCCAUAUUAUUUAGAAAUGAUCUUAUUGGAAGUACGGUUUUUUUUAGAGCAGAAUGAUAGAUUAAGAUUUAUAUGACCAACCCCAAAUAAUUAAAAACGCUUUAAUGAGGAAAAUGAUCUAAAAAAUUAUAUUUGGAAGGCAAGAAGACCAGGAUUUGGAUAGCACAUUUGGAAGGCAACAAAGGCGGUUAACAAGACCGGGCCCGUCCAUAGGCUUUUGGGAUGGUCUGGUUUCAAGCUUCAUGUAAGGUCUUUGGGAGGGCCUUGGCCUGGACUACCACUGGCACGUCCUGGGCCCUAUCCAAAGGUUCUAAUGCAUAUAUUCACAUAUAAUUAAUAAUAUUUUUCCAUAUUUAUAUAGGGCCCCCCAUUUUAUUUUAUUUUAUUUUGGAACUAAGCCCAAUGCUAAAUUUUUGGGCCCAGGCCUACCAUUCAUUUUUUUUGGCUAGGCUAGGUCUAGGGUUGGCCCUUCCCAAACCUGGCCCUUUAACAGCCCUAGUUGCAAGAUUGAAUAAAGUCCCAAGUCUGUUAGGAGCAUUUUAUGUUUCUUCAUAAGUUUGUCUCAAACAAGAAAUUCGACCUAUUAGAUUGGGCAAUGAGAGUUGAUGAAUUGAGUGUGACUAAUUAUAUACUUAAUAGUGUUGAAGGAGGCCAUUCCUCAUGGAAAAUUGAAUACCUAAACUAAGGUGUUGUAACUGUCCAUGUCAAUUGAAAGUUGGAAUUUCCCACGUAAUAUUUUGAAUUGAAAUAACAACAUAUAUUCUUUAAAGGAAUUGUAGUUGAAAUAACAUGUAGUUUUGCUGUAAAAGUUUUUAGGAUUAUCUGAAAAUCUAUAUUCAUAUCUAAUUAUAAAAUUUUAAACUUCAAAAAUAAGUAAAAUCACAUAGAUCUAUACGUAUAAAAAUCUUGAACUAUUUUUGGGGACUCAAAAUCGUCUUCUUUUUUUUUUGUUUUGUUUUUCAGAUUCAUACAUCUUGAUAUCAAGAUGAUCAAUUAGAGGGUUUUUAAACAUUAAAACAACCUUUUUCGAAAGAUUUUUGAAAUAAAUAUUUAAUUCUACAUUUUAAAGUUGCAACCUCAUAUAAACUUUUUCCUUUAAAACUUUCAAAAUAGCAAUUUGACCUCAAGAGAUGUUUGAGUUAGUGAUUCACAGGUUUGAAUUGAUUCUCAAAUAUGGUAUUCCAAAAGUACCUUUUUGGAGUUCUGCAGAAGACGACGCAGCUUGGGUUGACAUAUAGUGGGACUUGUCUGACGUAUUGCGUCAUAUGGAUUUCCCCUGUUCUCACUCCCAAAGUAAA